CAGCAGCCGCGGGAAUACAGAGGAUGCAAGCGUUGUCCGGAAUUAUUGGGCGUAAAGGGCUCGCAGGCGGUUUCUUAAGUCUGAUGUGAAAGCCCCCGGCUCAACCGGGGAGGGUCAUUGGAAACUGGGAAACUUGAGCGCAGAAGAGGAGAGUGGAAUUCCACGUGUAGCGGUGAAAUGCGUAGAGAUGUGGAGGAACACCAGUGGCGAAGGCGACUCUCUGGUCUGUAACUGACGCUGAGGAGCGAAAGCGUGGGGAGCGAACAGGAUUAGAUACCCGAGUAGUCCCUGUCUCUUAUAA
RNAcentral lists this ribosomal RNA (301 nucleotides) under uncultured bacterium. RNAcentral's name for it is "partial 16S ribosomal RNA". It matches the Rfam family "Bacterial small subunit ribosomal RNA", at positions 509 to 809 of the family's 1533-position model. The record is from RNAcentral.